Molecule: microRNA precursor, 61 nt
Filed under: Pan paniscus (pygmy chimpanzee)
Lineage: Eukaryota; Metazoa; Chordata; Mammalia; Primates; Hominidae
Also listed under: 1 other name
Description: microRNA ppa-mir-629 precursor
Gene: ppa-mir-629
Source: miRBase by way of RNAcentral
UGGGUUUACGUUGGGAGAACUUUUACGGUGAACCAGGAGGUUCUCCCAACGUAAGCCCAGC